CACUCUCCAUGUUGUGCCUUCUGUCGGUUUUGACAAAUGUAUAGCGACAUGUGUCCAUCCUCAUGUGUCAUGACAUGUCUCAGACAGAGCUGUUUCACAGCCCUAAAACCCUCUGUGCUCCGCCCACUCGUCCCUCCUUCGCCCUCCCCUGGCAACCACUGAUCUUUCUCCUGUCUCCAUCGUUGUGCCCUUGCCAGGAUGUCAUGGAGUUGGAACCACACAUCCUUGCAUUUUUUAUUUCUGUGGAGUGGGUGAGGGUGGACAUAGAAGUUUUAGUUUUGAUUUUCAAUCCCUGUUUGCCCAUCUUUAUCUGCUGCGGGUGCUGAAAAGGUAAAAACUUCCCUCACAGAGGCUUCACCGCCGAGAGCAGCCACGGGGCCAAGUCUCCAAAGGGGACGCGACCUCCGCCGAUGCUACCUUCUCCCGCCUGGGACGCGGCUGGUGCUGAUCUGCAGAGAUGAGAGAGAGAGUGAGCCCGGUUCUACAACUGGGCCAUCACUUCAGCAAGCGGUUAUCGAGCGCCGACUACGUUCCGGCAGGAGGCUUGCAGGAUACAGACAUAAAACAAAGGGAUGCGGUCCCUGGCUUCCUGAGGCGUGCCGGUGCUCCCGGGUCACAGCCCCAGGCGCUGUGAGGCCAUCAUGCGCAAAGAACCAGUGUGGUCUGGGGAGGUGGUGUCACGAAGACCUAAGGGGCUCCGAGUUGACCUGGACCAGGAGGAGAAGGAGCCUCUGGAUGGACGGCGAGGUCCCUGCAGCGGGCAGAGGCCUGGCCUGCUUGUUGGAACAGAGGAAAGGCCAGCACGGCUGACGGCCAGCACUGGAGUCACAGGAGGGGCCAGGCCGGAUGUGGCCUGUCGAGGAUUUUGAACUUGGCUGUGGGUGAGGACAAGUAAUGUUUGCCGGUUCCCUUGGACUGCAUUGAAAGAGCGUAUCCCAGGCCGUCACAGACGGAUCCCAGGUAUUAACCCACAGAAGGUGCCGAUGACUCACCGAUCUCUAGCUCAGCGAGCAAAUGCGUAAAUGGGAACCAGACCACUGGACAAUGAGUGCUUGCCUGAAGGGUGAUGGUAGAUAAAAGUCAAGAACAAAGACAGAUCCAGCGGUUUCCCAAGUUACAACAACAGUUGAAUUUAAGGGCCCGUCCGUGGCAGUUCAGCUUGAGACGGGAAGCGGGCGCUGACCAUGGAGCAGGGUCCACGGGAGGAAGGAGCUCAGGGCCCUGCAGAGGCAUCCAUCAGCCCUCCUGGGGAAGCUCCGUAGGUUCCUCGCUGCGGGACUCGCCCUGCAUGAGGCCACAUCUAAAAUUACACUCGGAGCCGGGGCGUUUCAGAGCAAAUCACAGAGGAGGAAGCUUUCUGCGGUAGUUUCGACACAUGUCCUCAGAUUCCGUGUGGCCUUUCCUUGAGCCUGGGCGGGCCUCGGUGAUGUUGUGCGACUUCUGAGGCCCAGACAAGAGGCCACACAGCUGGGCCUGUUUCUCCUGGGACACUUGCUCUUAGAACCUCCAGCUGUCCUUGUUUUUUAAAAUUUUUCCCAGCUUUAUUGAGACAGAAGUGACACAGAACGUUGUGUAAGUUUAAGGUGUACAAAGUGUUGAGUUGAUAUGCAUAUGUGUCGUGAAACGAUGACCACAGCAGGGCUCGUUGACACAUCGGUCACCUCACAGAGUUACCAUUUCUUGAAGGGUGUGGUGAGGGCGCACAAGAGCUGCCUUCUCAGCAACUCCACGGUCCUGUAAGGAGUCUGGCCGCCCUGGGGCCACCGUGUGGAGAGGCCACACAGAGAAAUGCAUAAGCUGUCACCGCCCCAGCCCAGGAGCCAGGCUCGCGAGCGCAGACGCCUUCGGGGGCCCCACCAUGGCCACCACCUGACUGGCUUACAUGAGAGACCCUGGGGAGAGCUGUCCAGCUGAACUUGGUCGACCCAGAACCACGACGGGUAACAAUACGUGUGAUUGUGUUGUUUUAGGCCACUGUCUGGGCACGGUUUGUUUUGCAGCAAUAAAAACCUGGAACACUCCUCCAUCAAA
This 2031-nucleotide long non-coding RNA is filed under the name Equus caballus (horse). Its description in RNAcentral is "lncRNA (ENSECAG00000059161.1)". Lineage: Eukaryota; Metazoa; Chordata; Mammalia; Perissodactyla; Equidae. The record is from RNAcentral.